GGUCCCAUAGCUCAGUUGGUUAGAGCGUCGUACUAAUAUUAUGUCGCCAUAAUGUCGGUAAAUGCGAAGGCCGUGAGUUCAAGCCUCACUGGGACCA
RNAcentral lists this transfer RNA (97 nucleotides) under Xylaria intraflava. RNAcentral's name for it is "tRNA-Ile". It matches the Rfam family "tRNA". From Rfam's summary of the family: Transfer RNA (tRNA) molecules are approximately 80 nucleotides in length. Their secondary structure includes four short double-helical elements and three loops (D, anti-codon, and T loops). The record is from RNAcentral. Lineage: Eukaryota; Fungi; Ascomycota; Sordariomycetes; Xylariales; Xylariaceae.